This 58-nucleotide transfer RNA is filed under the name Impatiens acaulis. RNAcentral's name for it is "partial tRNA-Phe". Lineage: Eukaryota; Viridiplantae; Streptophyta; Magnoliopsida; Ericales; Balsaminaceae. The record is from RNAcentral.
CGCGAUAGCUCAAAUAGUAGACCAGAACACUGAAAAUCCUCGUGUCACCAAGUUCAAA